RNAcentral lists this ribosomal RNA (207 nucleotides) under uncultured bacterium. RNAcentral's name for it is "partial 16S ribosomal RNA". It matches the Rfam family "Bacterial small subunit ribosomal RNA", at positions 568 to 774 of the family's 1533-position model. The record is from RNAcentral.
CGCGCAGGCGGCCGAUUAAGUCGGGGGUGAAAGCCUGUGGCUCAACCACAGAAUUGCCUUCGAUACUGGUUGGCUUGAGACCGGAAGAGGACAGCGGAACUGCGAGUGUAGGGGUGAAAUUCGUAGAUAUUCGCAAGAACACCAGUGGCGAAGGCGGCUGUCUGGUCCGGUUCUGACGCUGAGGCGCGAAAGCGUGGGGAGCAAACA